GGGCCGGUAGCUCAGCCUGGAAGAGCGCUCGGUUUGCACCCGAGAGGACCCGGGUUCAAAUCCCGGCCGGUCCA
RNAcentral lists this transfer RNA (74 nucleotides) under Desulfurococcaceae archaeon AG1. It matches the Rfam family "tRNA". Rfam says of the family: Transfer RNA (tRNA) molecules are approximately 80 nucleotides in length. Their secondary structure includes four short double-helical elements and three loops (D, anti-codon, and T loops). The record is from Rfam by way of RNAcentral. RNAcentral also lists the same sequence under 2 other names. Lineage: Archaea; Thermoproteati; Thermoproteota; Thermoprotei; Desulfurococcales; Desulfurococcaceae.